Molecule: non-coding RNA, 202 nt
Organism: Schizosaccharomyces pombe (fission yeast)
Lineage: Eukaryota; Fungi; Ascomycota; Schizosaccharomycetes; Schizosaccharomycetales; Schizosaccharomycetaceae
Source: the annotation of a GenBank genome assembly
UUGUCUAAUUUCAAGAAUUGAUUCAUGUGCAGAAUAAGCAGUGUAUCCAAUAAUGGAAAAAAGAGUUAGUAGAACUGAUAUUUUUUUUGCAUUUAUUGUCGAGCUUUCCAUUUCAGUUUAUUAUGCCAGAUUAGAUUUCGGUGCGGUGCUUGUGUAUAGUAGGUGGUAGCUGCGAGAACUCAGAAUAAUGAAAUCUAUGAAG